GCUGCCUACCUUGAGUGGUUCUGGGGUGGCAGCGGCGCACGGCUCAGACAGGCUCCCUGCCUGCCCUAGCCCCGCACCACUCCUGGAAGUGGCCGGCACCACGUCCCUGUGGCCCCUGGAGGAUGGAGCGGCGGGCAGAGGGCUCUGUGCACUGCCCUUCUCUGUGGGUACCUCCCUUGAAGCUCCCAUUGCCAAUUCCCAUUCCCGGCCAAUGGGAGCUGUGGGGGGCAGUGCCUGCAGGUGAGGGCAGCGCGUGGAGUGCUUCCCCCCCCCCCACACACACACAUUGCCCAGGGCUGCAGGGACAUGGUGCCGGCUGCUCCUGGGAGUGGCGCAGGGCUGACAAUCACACGGGCCAGAUCCAGCCCGCGGGCCGUAGUUUGUCCACCCCAGAAUUAGACAUUCUUGCUAUUGCCUUGUGCCACAACCCUCUGUUUAUUUGUGCUGGAAGGGUGAUUAAGUGACUUCCCAGACACUGCCCCCCCCCAUGUGCCUUCUUUGUUUUCCUGCCCAUGUGUAGGGAAGCCUUUGUUUGCAGCUGUAGUUAAAGGGGGUUUUAUUAAUUAUCACUGAGAUGUAUUUGUGGGUGAGGAAGAUGGACCUUGAGCCAAGAGCCCUGGAUUUGGAUCCUAGCUCACCACUUGACUAUCUGUUUCUCUAAUCGGCUAAAUUGUAAAUAUUCACAGUAGAACAGUCCAAACUGUGAACAUUUACAAUUUGGCCCACUAGAGAGUUUGGAUCCAGGGCUUUUGCUAGACUUCUUGUGUAGCCCGACAGUUCAGACCUGGAAUCUUGGCAUAUUUGAGUUGGGUGGCCUCAAAAAUACAUUCCAAGGGAAGAGCAACUCUUUAAAUGGGCAGAAGGAGGGAACAGAUAGGGGUGACUGAUUAAGUAGGUGGCCUGGCAGCAUAGAAUCAUAGACUAUCAGGGUUGGAAGGGACCUCAGGAGGUAUCUAGUCCCACCCCCCUGCUCAAAGCAGGACCAACCCCAACUAAAUCAUCCCAGCCAGGGCUUUGUCAAGCCUGACCUUAAAACCUUCUAAAGAAGGAGAUUCCACCACAUCCCUAGGGAACCCAUUCCAGUGCAAACUUGCUGCCUCUCUGUUGAAGCACUAUUAAGCUCUGACCACGUGCGGGCAGAGUCUGUGGGUGACUCAUACCUCUGGGGGUCUUGAUCAAAACUCAUCUUUCAGGUGGAAGCAGUUUGGGGGUUUUCUUUCUGUAAUCAGGAGGAGAAGUUCUGGCGAUUGUUGAAGUGGAUCGGAAUGUCCAAGUGCCUGGUCCAUUGCUUGCAGAUAUUUAUUUAUGCAGUUCUUUCUGUUUCUGUCUAAUAAUCCCCUAAUCAGUCGAUAAAAUCAAGCCAGCCCAUCUGGCUUUUGGAGAGUGUGUGUGUGUGUGUGUGUGUGUGUGUGAGAGAGAGAGAGAGAGAGAGAGACAAGGCCCUGGAUCUCUGCUUUCACCUGUUGGUAGGUGCAGGACGCCUGGUGCAGACCCCUGACCUUCUCUCUGCCUAGCAACAAGAGUCGGUCCAGCUCCUGUUAUGGUCCAAGAUGAGAUGGGGCCGGUUACAAAACCUGGACUGGAUCUGGGGUUGGAAGGGAUUGGAUGCAGGAGAGUAGAGACCCUCCCCACAGUUUAGGUAUCCCACUAUCACAUCUUUUUUCCAUUGACAACAGCGCCUGAUAGUGUCAUGGAAACCCCCACCCACUCCUCUUUAUUCUGGGGGCUGCCAUGUCGACCCUUUGAUGGACCUGAUCUUUCUUCUCUUUUACACCAAUGGACUCCAUGGCCUUGAGUGGGGUUACUGCUGAUCUGCAUCGAUGUAAGUACAAGAAAAUCAGGCCCAGAGUCUCUCCAAGAUGGUCACACCACAACUAGGUGCUCCCUGCUCCCCAUCAAGGGCUUGGUGAAGAGCUUGCUCCAGAGCUGCACCCAUGUAGGUGCCUGGGUCGCCCAGCAGGAGGCAGUGACACUAGGGUCCACUGUCAUGCUUGCAUCCUAUGGAGACAAGCUUUCCAGUGAAGAAGAAACCCUAGGCUGCUCUCUUCCCUCACUCCCAUCCUGGGGUUUGCUGGGAGUCUGCCCUACUUGGUCCCAAGGCUGGGAUGUGGGUUAUCACUCUGUGACACGGGGCUGUGUGUUCUCACUGAGCUGACCAUUGCAAGCCAGGCCAGCGCCCCUCGAACCUCUGCCUGAUCUUAUCUGCUCUGCCUUUGCAUGUCAUCGUGCAGCCAGGAGGCCCUAUGUAAAGGGGGAGAGCUCGGUGUUUGAUGCUGGGUGCUGCCGCUGCCUCUCUUGGGCUGGACAUGGCUUCCUGGAGCCAGCUCACUGGGCUGCCCCUAGAAUCAUGGAUACUCCCAGAGGAUUGCUUGGGUCCUGGUUGUCAUAGCGAUGCCUGAGCUCAGCUUCUGGGGCAGACUGGACAUUCUUAGCUGUGACUGCUCCCUAGUCCUGCUUGUCUGCAGAGCUCAGCUUUGCGGGCCUGUGUAUGGCCCUGAGGGUUUGCUUUGGUGGGGUUGAUCAUGCAAGUGCCCUGGGAUGGGGCCGUCACUCCAGGAUGAGCCGGCAGAACAAGGCAGUGAGGGAGAAGCUGGGCCCACCUUGGACAGACUGCACAGAUACAGACUAACACGGCUGCUACUCUGAAGUCUGGAGAGAGGGACCCAGGUGACAUGGACAGAGCAGGUGGAGGUGGCAAACUGCCAGUCAUCAUCUGCUAUGAAAUGGGAAGAGACUGUGACAACAGCUCCAGCUCUCAACUAACAUCUUGGCUUUGCUUCAAGGAGGACAGUUAUUGCCGUCUAAGAGACGGUCAGACAAUGGGGUAUUUCCUGCUAAAGUCUCUUUCCAGCUGAAGGGAACAAGGGAUGUUGUUAAAAUAAAAG
Mauremys reevesii (Reeves's turtle) is the source of this 2885-nucleotide long non-coding RNA. RefSeq lists it as uncharacterized. The record is from RefSeq and is a predicted model, not a curated record. The transcript has 3 exons. NCBI's taxonomy places the organism in Eukaryota, Metazoa, Chordata, Testudines, Geoemydidae.